UCCCAGGGGGUCGAAUGGUUAGGACAUAGCACUUUAAUUGCUGUGGCCCGGAUUCAGUUCCUGGUCUGGGAG
Molecule: non-coding RNA, 72 nt
Organism: Sus scrofa (pig)
Lineage: Eukaryota; Metazoa; Chordata; Mammalia; Artiodactyla; Suidae
Source: Rfam